Molecule: signal recognition particle RNA, 97 nt
Filed under: Actinomycetota bacterium
Lineage: Bacteria; Bacillati; Actinomycetota
Description: signal recognition particle sRNA small type
Rfam family: Bacterial small signal recognition particle RNA
About the family: The signal recognition particle (SRP) is a universally conserved ribonucleoprotein involved in the co-translational targeting of proteins to membranes. Archaeal SRP consists of a 7S RNA and homologues of the eukaryotic SRP19 and SRP54 proteins.
Source: RNAcentral
GGUUGGGUCCUGCGCAACGGAGUCCCGUGAAUCGAGUCAGGGCCGGAAGGCAGCAGCUCUCAGCGGACGGCGCCGUGUGCCAGCCUGACCGUCUCAC